Non-coding RNA from Trichonephila clavipes, 73 nucleotides. The record is from the annotation of a GenBank genome assembly. NCBI's taxonomy places the organism in Eukaryota, Metazoa, Arthropoda, Arachnida, Araneae, Nephilidae.
GUCCCUGUAGCGCAAUGGGUAGCGCAUUGGACUUCUAAUCCAAAGAUCGUUCGUUCGAAUCCCGCCUGGGAUA